CAGUCGCCGCGGUAAUACGAAGGGUGCAAGCGUUACUCGGAACUACUGGGCGUAAAGCGUGCGUAGGUGGUUGUGUAAGACAGGUGUGGAAUCCCCGGGCUUAACCUGGGAACUGCGCUUGUGACUGCACAGCUAGAGUAUGGCAGAGGGGGGUGGAAUUCCACGUGUAGCAGUGAAAUGCGUAGAGAUGUGGAGGAACACCGAUGGCGAAGGCAGCCCCCUGGGCCAAUACUGACGCUCAUGCACGAAAGCGUGGGGAGCAAACAGGAUUAGAUACCCGCGUAGUCCCUGUCUCUUAUAA
RNAcentral lists this ribosomal RNA (301 nucleotides) under uncultured bacterium. RNAcentral describes it as "partial 16S ribosomal RNA". It matches the Rfam family "Bacterial small subunit ribosomal RNA", at positions 509 to 809 of the family's 1533-position model. The record is from RNAcentral.